GAUUGGUUACCUUGUUACGACUUCACCCCAGUCAUGAAUCACACCGUGGUAAUCGUCCCCCCUAAGGUUAGACUAACUACUUCUGGUGCAACCCACUCCCAUGGUGUGACGGGCGGUGUGUACAAGGCCCGGGAACGUAUUCACCGCAACAUUCUGAUUUGCGAUUACUAGCGAUUCCGACUUCACGGAGUCGAGUUGCAGACUCCGAUCCGGACUACGACGUACUUUUUGGGUUCCGCUUGCUCUCGCGAGGUCGCUUCCCUCUGUAUACGCCAUUGUAGCACGUGUGUAGCCCUGGCCGUUAGGGCCAUGAUGACUUGACGUCAUUCCCCACCUUCCUCCGGUUUAUCACCGGCAGUCUUCCCUUUGAGUUCCCGGCUUUACCCGCUGGCAACAAAGGAUAGGGGUUGCCGCUCGUUGCGGGACCUUAACCCAACAUUCUUACGACACGAGCCUGACGACAGCCAUGCAGACCUUGUGUUUUGAGUUUCCCCGAAGGGACCAAUCCAUCUUCUGGGAAAGUUUUCCACCUGUCAAGAUUACGUUAGGGUCUU
RNAcentral lists this ribosomal RNA (554 nucleotides) under uncultured bacterium. RNAcentral describes it as "partial 16S ribosomal RNA". The record is from RNAcentral.